UGACAGAGUGGUGAAGUGUUUGGCUGCUAACCAAAAGGUUGGUAGUUCAAACCCACC
Molecule: transfer RNA, 57 nt
Filed under: Loxodonta africana (African savanna elephant)
Lineage: Eukaryota; Metazoa; Chordata; Mammalia; Proboscidea; Elephantidae
Rfam family: tRNA
About the family: Transfer RNA (tRNA) molecules are approximately 80 nucleotides in length. Their secondary structure includes four short double-helical elements and three loops (D, anti-codon, and T loops).
Source: Rfam by way of RNAcentral